Long non-coding RNA from Arabidopsis lyrata subsp. lyrata, 1299 nucleotides. RefSeq lists it as uncharacterized. The transcript is spliced from 3 exons. The record is from RefSeq and is a predicted model, not a curated record. NCBI's taxonomy places the organism in Eukaryota, Viridiplantae, Streptophyta, Magnoliopsida, Brassicales, Brassicaceae.
UUUUCGUUACAAUUUCUUUUGAUUCUCUUAUUCUCAUAUCCCUUCUCUCUCUCUGCAAAGAAGAAGGCCAAGUCCAGCUUCUUUCUUCUUCUUUCUUCAUUCUUCAACAAAUCAUCAGCUUUCUAAAGAAAGAGAGAUUGAACAUUCAGAUUCACCUUCUUAACUUCAAGGAGAUUUUUUUCAGACCACCAACUUGAGAAUCUGUCCGAUCUGGCUGGUUUAGUUACCUGAUUCGCUGAAUCGGCUUUCUGUAAACUCGUGUCUCUCUUGGAUGAGUUUAGUGGGAAAAGAGAGAGGAUCUUUUGGAAUAAAAGAACUGCCAUGUUAAAAUGUAAUUUGUUAAGUACCAAAAUGGCUUAACAAGAAAGUAAUAGAAAGAGAUGAGAAGUAGAAGAAAGAGAUGAGGAUUAGAAGAAUUCAGAAGAUUAGAGGAAGAAGAAUGGAGAAGAUGAAAGAAAUAAUUGACAUUCUUUGUGAUCUUAAUCGAUAUUGUUUACAGAGGCAAAAGACACUGUUAAAUAGCAGACAAACUAAAGAAAAGAAGGCUUAAACAUUAAGCCCAUUACGAGACCCACGAGGCCCAGCUCGUGAUACUAUCAUAAUACUUUUCCAUGUAUUUAGCUGUUGAAGCUUAUUAAGGUGUAGAAAUAAGAAAGCUACUCUUACUUGUUUUCUCUCUAUUUUUGUUUCUUGCAGAUGGUGUAUGUGGUUGUUUUAACAAAGAAAAAGAUGGAGAUGUAAAUCCCAGGGCUUAGAGACUUCUCACCUCAACACAUCAUUGAUACCCAUAGAAAAGAAACGUCCUCAAAAACAGAGAGAAACAAGUAAGUGUUUUAGGUGCAAAAUACACACUCACUCACUCAUAUCUAAAAAAAAUCAAGAUUGAGACCUAAGAUACCUAAGAAAUCAAGUAUAUCUCGUUGCUAGCUCUGUUUCUAAUCAACAUGAGAUGGAGAGAAAUAACCUAAGAUGUGGUUUCUUAGCUAUUGGAACCGUUGCGAUCGUUUCUCGUGUUAGCCACUAUGAGGAAUUCAACUUUUCAGGUUGGUUAAUCAACUGUAACAAGUGGAGUAAAAGUAGUUGUGUGCAAUACCUGAAGUGAGAAGGUGGUGUGGACAAAUUUAUGUGGACUUAUUAUCAUGGAUAUGUUAUGGACAAAUUAAUAUUUGAAAUUGUAACUGACAUUUGUGUUAUGGACUCACCAUUCUCGUAACAUGAUUAUAAUGAAACGAGAUUGACUAUUGACGAUUGUGUAUUUAUUAAACCUUGGCACCGGUGAAGAGAUGAGUCCCUUGAACU